RNAcentral lists this ribosomal RNA (522 nucleotides) under uncultured Glomeromycotina. RNAcentral's name for it is "SSU rRNA". It matches the Rfam family "Eukaryotic small subunit ribosomal RNA", at positions 569 to 1092 of the family's 1831-position model. The record is from RNAcentral. Lineage: Eukaryota; Fungi; Glomeromycota.
AGCAGCCGCGGUAAUUCCAGCUCCAAUAGCGUAUAUUAAAGUUGUUGCAGCUAAAAAGCUCGUAGUUGAAUUUCGGGGUUAGUAGAUUGGUCAUGCCAUCGGUAUGCACUGGUCUCACUGAUUCCUCCUUCCUGAUGAGCCGUAAUGCCAUUAAUUUGGUGUUGCGGGGAAUUUGGACUGUUACUUUGAAAAAAUUAGAGUGUUUAAAGCAAGCUAACGCUUGAAUACAUUAGCAUGAAAUAAUGAAAUAGGACGUUCGAUCCUAUUUUGUUGGUUUCUAGGAUUGACGUAAUGAUUAAUAGGGAUAGUUGGGGGCAUUAGUAUUCAAUUGUCAGAGGUGAAAUUCUUGGAUUUAUUGAAGACUAACUACUGCGAAAGCAUUUGCCAAGGAUGUUUUCAUUAAUCAAGAACGAAAGUUAGGGGAUCGAAGACGAUCAGAUACCGUCGUAGUCUUAACCAUAAACUAUGCCGACUAGGGAUCGGAUGAUGUUAAUUUUUUAAUGACUCAUUCGGCGCCUUACG